AAUAGCGGAGGAAAAGAAACCAACCGGGAUUGCCUUAGUAACGGCGAGUGAAGCGGCAAAAGCUCAAAUUUGAAAUCUAGUACCUUCGGUGCUCGAGUUGUAAUUUGUAGAGGGAUACUUUGGGGCCGUCUCUUAUCUAUGUUCCUUGGAACAGGACGUCAUAGAGGGUGAGAAUCCCGUAUGAUGAGAGUCGCGGUUCUUUGUAAAGUUCCUUCGAAGAGUCGAGUUGUUUGGGAAUGCAGCUCUAAGUGGGUGGUAAAUUCCAUCUAAAGCUAAAUAUUGGCGAGAGACCGAUAGCGAACAAGUACAGUGAUGGAAAGAUGAAAAGAACUUUGAAAAGAGAGUGAAAAAGUACGUGAAAUUGUUGAAAGGGAAGGGCAUUUGAUCAGACAUGGUGUUUUGCGCCCUCUGCUCCUUGUGGGUGGGGGAAUCUCGCAGCUCACUGGGCCAGCAUCAGUUUUGGCGGUAGGAUAAAUCCAUAGGAAUGUGGCUUGCUUCGGUAAGUGUUAUAGCCUGUGGGAAUACUGCCAGCCGGGACUGAGGACUGCGACAUCGUCAAGGAUGCUGCAUAACGUCGGAGU
Molecule: ribosomal RNA, 581 nt
Filed under: Jamesozyma zonata
Lineage: Eukaryota; Fungi; Ascomycota; Saccharomycetes; Saccharomycetales; Saccharomycetaceae
Description: LSU rRNA
Rfam family: Eukaryotic large subunit ribosomal RNA
Source: RNAcentral